GCCUGGGUGGCUCAGUCGGUUGAGCGUCUGACUUCAGCUCAGGUCAUGAUCUCGCGGUCUGUGAGUUCGAGCCCCGCGUCGGGCU
This is a transfer RNA of Felis catus (domestic cat), 85 nucleotides long. It matches the Rfam family "tRNA". Rfam says of the family: Transfer RNA (tRNA) molecules are approximately 80 nucleotides in length. Their secondary structure includes four short double-helical elements and three loops (D, anti-codon, and T loops). Further hydrogen bonds mediate the characteristic L-shaped molecular structure. tRNAs have two regions of fundamental functional importance: the anti-codon, which is responsible for specific mRNA codon recognition, and the 3' end, to which the tRNAs corresponding amino acid is attached (by aminoacyl-tRNA synthetases). tRNAs cope with the degeneracy of the genetic code in two manners: having more than one tRNA (with a specific anti-codon) for a particular amino acid; and 'wobble' base-pairing, i.e. permitting non-standard base-pairing at the 3rd anti-codon position. NCBI's taxonomy places the organism in Eukaryota, Metazoa, Chordata, Mammalia, Carnivora, Felidae. The record is from Rfam.